UCAUUAUAUGGCGCUGCUUGUCAGUAUCACUGUCACCUCGAGAAACCCUCCACCCCUGCCUCCACUGUCAAGUAGCUGUUUGGCAUUCUUCACCGUGAACAUCAGGCACCCUUCCCCUCACACUUUCUGGUAUUCUUCACAUUCACCGCUAGAUAGUUGAUACCCUACGCCGUCGCCUCUUGGCAUUGUUCAUUCAUUACUACAACCGCCACUACUGGAGAACUUUUGCCAUAACCCCUCCCAACACUUUCUGGUAUUCUUCACAUUCACCGCUAGAUAGUUGAUACCCUACGCCGUCGCCUCUUGGCAUUGUUCAUUCAUUACUACAACCGCCACUACUGGAGAACUUUUGCCAUAACCCCUCCCAUUUGCCAACAUUGUUCAUCACUACCACCACCGCCCCCACCAUUCGUCACUAUUACUUCGACCACUGGGUACCAGUAUCAUCGAUAGGGGAAGGCCAAAAACCCACCAUAUAAACACACCAUAGCAGCCUAUGGCCCCACCAUGAGGAGGAUCCUUUCACAAAUUGCCUAUGGCGAUUGUCAAAUCAUUCUGCCAUGACUAUCAUUUGACAAAGUUGAGCAUCCUCUGCCAUUGUGGCAACUAUCAGACAUGCUUUGCCAUGACCGUCAUUUGACAAAGUUGGCAUCCUCUGCCAUUGUGGCCACUAUCAGACACGCUUUGCCAUGACCACCAUUUGACAAAGUUGAGCACCCUCUGCCAUUGUGGCCACUAUCAGACACACUUUGCCAUUAUCAGCAAUGUCG
Molecule: long non-coding RNA, 770 nt
Filed under: Lathyrus oleraceus (garden pea)
Lineage: Eukaryota; Viridiplantae; Streptophyta; Magnoliopsida; Fabales; Fabaceae
Description: Pisum sativum (pea) long non-coding RNA (PSAT_LNC034263)
Source: RNAcentral